AGGUCACAAGAUUGCGCCAACCCUUACAUGGUCCUUAAAAAAAAAACCUUCUGACACUGCAGUAGUGAAAAUGAAGCGCACGAUGGGCGGAAGCUAGGAAGACAAACAUAAAGAUGAAGUGCUUAAUUCAAGGUCACACAAUGUCGGGGAUGGACCUCCAGAUUUCCUUACUGACCUGCAUUAUCUUGUGGAUACCUGAGUGAAUUCCACACCACCCAUUUUAUAGAUGAAACCACUGAGACAUGGAGCAAUUGACUGAGUAGUCACUGCCCCACCCCUGCCUGGAGCCUCACACAUGACUCGCCUCCUCUCAGUGACCACAGGUUGGUUGAGGGGUUUAACAAGGCUAAGAAGGUGAGACGUGGUCUUGUAACACAGUGGUUAAGAAUGUGACUUUGGAGCCAGCCUGCUAGGGGCUGAAUUCUGACUCAGCCAUUUACUAACUGUGUGACCUUAGGUAAGUCAUUUACCUUCUUUGUCCCUCAGUUUCAUCUCGGUUAAGUAGGGAUAAUGAUAGCACCUAUUUUAUAGGGUUAUUGUGAGGAAUAAAUCCAAGUAAAAUGCUUAGAAUAGUAACUGAAACAUAGCACUCAUUAGGAAUGCUUUAAUUUUCAUUUAUUUGAGUAUUAAAG
Molecule: long non-coding RNA, 632 nt
Filed under: Homo sapiens (human)
Lineage: Eukaryota; Metazoa; Chordata; Mammalia; Primates; Hominidae
Description: non-protein coding PCBP1-AS1:231
Source: RNAcentral